Bisporella sp. PMI_857 is the source of this 69-nucleotide non-coding RNA. NCBI's taxonomy places the organism in Eukaryota, Fungi, Ascomycota, Leotiomycetes, Helotiales, Helotiaceae. The record is from the annotation of a GenBank genome assembly.
GGCCUGGUGGUGUAGGUGGUUAGCAUACGGCAGCUUGCUGAGACGCGGGUUUGAGUCCCGCCCAGGUCC